RNAcentral lists this long non-coding RNA (162 nucleotides) under Polistes fuscatus (common paper wasp). RNAcentral's name for it is "uncharacterized LOC122519849". Lineage: Eukaryota; Metazoa; Arthropoda; Insecta; Hymenoptera; Vespidae. The record is from RNAcentral.
GUGGACUAUAAUGCUACAUUCCUUCUGUUAUCAGCUGAAAUUUAUUUAGCAAAUAAUCAAGUUAAUAAAGCGUUCGUGUUACUCAAGGAAAGCAAUAUAAUAAGUUCAAAUCGUCAAGAUUGGAAUGUCCUAAAGAUCAAAAUAAUAAUUAUGAACCUAUAG